GUCAGCUAUGUGGACUCUAGCUGCCAAAGGCGCUUCUCCUUCUGAACAGAGCGCUUUGCUCAGCCAGUGUAGACAUGGCCUGAU
MicroRNA precursor from Urocitellus parryii (Arctic ground squirrel), 84 nucleotides. Ensembl annotates it as microRNA 1251. Lineage: Eukaryota; Metazoa; Chordata; Mammalia; Rodentia; Sciuridae. The record is from Ensembl.